RNAcentral lists this ribosomal RNA (410 nucleotides) under uncultured bacterium. RNAcentral's name for it is "bacterial SSU rRNA". It matches the Rfam family "Bacterial small subunit ribosomal RNA", at positions 355 to 776 of the family's 1533-position model. The record is from RNAcentral.
UGGGGAAUAUUGGGCAAUGGACGCAAGUCUGACCCAGCGACGCCGCGUGCGGGAUGAAGGCCUUCGGGUUGUAAACCGCUUUCAGCAGGGAAGAAGCGAAAGUGACGGUACCUGCAAAAGAAGCACCGGCUAACUAUGUGCCAGCAGCCGCGGUAAUACAUAGGGUGCAAGCGUUGUCCGGAAUUAUUGGGCGUAAAGAGCUCGUAGGCGGUUCGGUAAGUCGGGUGUGAAACCUCCAGGCUCAACCUGGAGACGCCACCUGAUACUGCUGUGACUAGAGUCCGGUAGGGGAGUGUGGAACUCCUGGUGUAGCGGUGAAAUGCGCAGAUAUUAGGAGGAACACCGGUGGCGAAGGCACCACUCUGGGCCGAAACUGACGCUGAGGAGCGAAAGCGUGGGUAGCAAACAGG